Molecule: ribosomal RNA, 492 nt
Filed under: uncultured bacterium
Lineage: Bacteria
Description: partial 16S ribosomal RNA
Rfam family: Bacterial small subunit ribosomal RNA
Source: RNAcentral
AGUGAACGCUGGCGGUAGGCCUAACACAUGCAAGUCGAACGGCAGCACAGUAAGAGCUUGCUCUUACGGGUGGCGAGUGGCGGACGGGUGAGGAAUACAUCGGAAUCUACUUUUUCGUGGGGGAUAACGUAGGGAAACUUACGCUAAUACCGCAUACGACCUACGGGUGAAAGCAAGGGAUCUUCGGACCUUGCGCGAUUGAAUGAGCCGAUGUCGGAUUAGCUAGUUGGCGGGGUAAAGGCCCACCAAGGCGACGAUCCGUAGCUGGUCUGAGAGGAUGAUCAGCCACACUGGAACUGAGACACGGUCCAGACUCCUACGGGAGGCAGCAGUGAGGAAUAUUGGACAAUGGGCGCAAGCCUGAUCCAGCCAUACCGCGUGGGUGAAGAAGGCCUUCGGGUUGUAAAGCCCUUUUGUUGGGAAAGAAAAGCAGCAGGUUAAUACCCCGCUGUUCUGACGGUACCCAAAGAAUAAGCACCGGCUAACUUCGUG